GCGGUGUUGGAGAGAGACGCGUUAUCGGAUUUCAAGGCCGGGUGCUUGAGAACCUUCGAGAAUCGGAGAUUCGAUAAGGUGAAGGUUGUGAGGGAGGUAAUGAGUCAGAUGUUGGAGGCUUGGAAGCAGAUUCCAGAUGUCUCCGGCGACGUUUCGCCGCCGCCUCACUCACAGGCUUCUUCAAAAGAGAAUGCGAGCGACGGACGCUAUCCGCCGGGGUCGAGAAACUCCGGUGCCGUUGGUUCCGAAGCUCUUCAUUUGAGGAAGA
Morus notabilis is the source of this 268-nucleotide long non-coding RNA. RefSeq lists it as uncharacterized. The transcript has 3 exons. NCBI's taxonomy places the organism in Eukaryota, Viridiplantae, Streptophyta, Magnoliopsida, Rosales, Moraceae. The record is from RefSeq and is a predicted model, not a curated record.